This 734-nucleotide unclassified non-coding RNA is filed under the name Hevea brasiliensis (rubber tree). The record is from RNAcentral. Lineage: Eukaryota; Viridiplantae; Streptophyta; Magnoliopsida; Malpighiales; Euphorbiaceae.
GCCUAACAGUUCAGGUGCCUGACUAUCCUAGUUCUAAAACCACUCAUGGAAGACAAAGAGCUUCAACUGGAGGGCACUUACAAAAUGGUUCUAAAAGCCAUUUAGUUAUAUUGCAUCAUGUAAAGAUACAACAAAAAUUGGAAAACUUCCUGAGGGCGAUCUAUCAAAAGCUCAGCUCCUGGAAGCAAUUCUUCGUUCUCAAACACGAGUCAAGGAAGCUGAGAAGGAAUGCAAAGCAAGCCUUUGUUGAGAAGGAACACAUCAAUAAGCUUUUCCUUAGUCAAAACUCACAGCUUUUUGCCUAUAAGGAGUGGUUUGAAAUGCUACAGCUUGAAAUCCUUUACUAUCAGGUAAAAAAUGGUGAGAAGCCAAUAUCCACUCUAUUCCUUGUAGUUCUUCCACGGAUUCCUCUUAAGGGCAGGAACCUACAAAAGAGCUGGCAAAAGUUCACAAGGGGCAAGCAUGGUCGACCAAGUCAUGACAUUAGCAAGUAUGUUGUUGCAUUUGCACUAGGUUUGAGUAUUGUUGGUGCUAGCUUGCUACUAGGAUGGGUGUUGCCUUUGUAAGUUUCAAGAAAUUUCCUAUUUACGGAAGUUUAUUUAUGAAGGAAAUUGAUUGUAUUAAAUUGACUUCCAUGUGUAUUUUCUUAGAUGUGUUACUUUAUUUUGUGUGUACUCUGCAUUGUUUUUGUACCUUGUAUAUAAAUGAUCACAACAAGAAAUGUUAUACUUAGC